CCAGCGAACUUGGCAGAGAUGCCUUGGUGCCUUCGGGAACGCUGAGACAGGUGCUGCAUGGCUGUCGUCAGCUCGUGUUGUGAAAUGUUGGGUUAAGUCCCGCAACGAGCGCAACUCUUAUCCUUUGUUGCCAGCGAUUCGGUCGGGAACUCAAAGGAGACUGCCGGUGAUAAACCGGAGGAAGGUGGGGAUGACGUCAAGUCAUCAUGGCCCUUACGAGUAGGGCUACACACGUGCUACAAUGGCGCAUACAAAGAGAAGCGACCUCGCGAGAGCAAGCGGACCUCAUAAAGUGCGUCGUAGUCCGGAUCGGAGUCUGCAACUCGACUCCGUGAAGUCGGAAUCGCUAGUAAUCGUGGAUCAGAAUGCCACGGUGAAUACGUUCCCGGGCCUUGUACACACCGCCCGUCACACCAUGGGAGUGGGUUGCAAAAGAAGUAGGUAGCUUAACCUCCGGGAGGGCGCUUACCACUUUGUGAUUCAUGACUGGGGUGAAGUCGUAACAAGGUAAGCGUAGCGAG
This 521-nucleotide ribosomal RNA is filed under the name uncultured bacterium. Its description in RNAcentral is "bacterial SSU rRNA". It matches the Rfam family "Bacterial small subunit ribosomal RNA", at positions 988 to 1509 of the family's 1533-position model. The record is from RNAcentral.